GGCUCAGGAUGAACGCUGGCGGCGUGCCUAAUACAUGCAAGUCGAGCGAACGGACGAGAAGCUUGCUUCUCUGAUGUUAGCGGCGGACGGGUGAGUAACACGUGGAUAACCUACCUAUAAGACUGGGAUAACUUCGGGAAACCGUAGCUAAUACCGGAUAAUAUUUUGAACCGCAUGGUUCAAAAGUGAAAGACGGUCUUGCUGUCACUUAUAGAUGGAUCCGCGCUGCAUUAGCUAGUUGGUAAGGUAACGGCUUACCAAGGCAACGAUGCAUAGCCGACCUGAGAGGGUGAUCGGCCACACUGGAACUGAGACACGGUCCAGACUCCUACGGGAGGCAGCAGUAGGGAAUCUUCCGCAAUGGGCGAAAGCCUGACGGAGCAACGCCGCGUGAGUGAUGAAGGUCUUCGGAUCGUAAAACUCUGUUAUUAGGGAAGAACAUAUGUGUAAGUAACUGUGCACAUCUUGACGGUACCUAAUCAGAAAGCCACGGCUAACUACGUGCCAGCAGCCGCGGUAAUACGUAGGUGGCAAGCGUUAUCCGGAAUUAUUGGGCGUAAAGCGCGCGUAGGCGGUUUUUUAAGUCUGAUGUGAAAGCCCACGGCUCAACCGUGGAGGGUCAUUGGAAACUGGAAAACUUGAGUGCAGAAGAGGAAAGUGGAAUUCCAUGUGUAGCGGUGAAAUGCGCAGAGAUAUGGAGGAACACCAGUGGCGAAGGCGACUUUCUGGUCUGUAACUGACGCUGAUGUGCGAAAGCGUGGGGAUCAAACAGGAUUAGAUACCCUGGUAGUCCACGCCGUAAACGAUGAGUGCUAAGUGUUAGGGGGUUUCCGCCCCUUAGUGCUGCAGCUAACGCAUUAAGCACUCCGCCUGGGGAGUACGACCGCAAGGUUGAAACUCAAAGGAAUUGACGGGGACCCGCACAAGCGGUGGAGCAUGUGGUUUAAUUCGAAGCAACGCGAAGAACCUUACCAAAUCUUGACAUCCUU
Molecule: ribosomal RNA, 989 nt
Filed under: Staphylococcus aureus
Lineage: Bacteria; Bacillati; Bacillota; Bacilli; Caryophanales; Staphylococcaceae
Description: bacterial SSU rRNA
Rfam family: Bacterial small subunit ribosomal RNA
Source: RNAcentral